UCUUGAGGAGGGUUGAUUUAACUCUUUACUAACUUUAAACCCCACAAGUAAAAAUUUCAUAUGUUCUUGACUGCAAACACAAAAACUGCUUGAUGUUAUUACUAAUUAUUUUCCUCCACAACACUCCAAAUCAUGUUCUCUCUUGUGUCCAGCAGGGGAAUAAGGUGACCUCUACUCUCACUGCUUCCCCAGUCAGAGACAAUAUCUCACUCACACUUCCACACUUUAUUGUUUUCCCUCUUUCUUGACUAUUAUUAUUUCACAGAAAAUCAACUGACCUACUUCUCCUUCCUCUUCUGUCAUGCAGAAAGUCACACACACACAGCACUCGGCCCCCACCUUGUCUUUCUCUCACAGACACACCUACACACACACACACUCUAAUCGUCCUUUCACAACAAAACUUCACAAACGUCCACUGCAACAGUUUUAAGCACGCAAAGCCAGCGAAAAUUCACUCUCACAUUCACUUCCCUAACAACUACAAAGUUUUCACAUAGAAAAAUAAUCCAGACAAUCUACCAUGCACCGUUUUCCCUCCUUAUACGAGAGACUCAACCAACUUUUAAAAGCUUUAUUUACACAACAUCAAAUAAAGCACAGAUCUCUGCCUUUUCCAGGUAGAGAAGGAAAUACGACCCAACUCAAAAUCUCCCAGCAAUCACACAAAGUUCUCAAAUUUUGUCAAGAUAUUUAUCCCCGCACUCCUACCUUACUGGAGUUUUACACAAGGGAUCAUUACUCAUGGAAUUCUAUUAAACCAUAGUCACAUUAGGAAAUCACAAACACAAGACUACAAGGUUUAGUUUAUUUAAUAUACUGAAAUCUUUUAACCAUACUUCUGAGACCCCUUUUCACCUAACGAAAAGAAGCUCAGAAGGACAGAAAGGGAGAAAUAGGGAGAUGAAACCAAGGGCCGCAGCUGUACACACACACACUCCGCUCGUACUCGCGCGCGUGUGCCCGCUACCGCGCAGCACCACACAACCCCUCCUUUCUCCUAAGGAGAGAUACACACACACACUCUGGAUCCACACAGAAGAAAUUCAACAACACAAGACAGUUUAUACAAUUUACACUUUUAAAUGCACACACACACGGGUAAUUUAUAUACAAUAUACACACGGGCCCGCAUAGACGUCAUAUGCUAGAAGAGGUUACACCUAACUUUUUGACUAAUUUAAAAGCACCUAUAGCCCAGGCCUCGCCUUGCUGGUCAAUACACACCUCGGGAACGCCCUCCCGAUAGCGCUCAAAUUCCUAAGAAAACACCAUAUGCCAGAACAACUUUAUCUCACUUCUCUAUUUCUCUGCUGGUGUUGCUAAAUUUUUGACUAAUUUAAAAGCAUCUUUCAGCCCAGAGCCUCGCUCUUGCUGAUCAAUUACCCGUCUCAAGUACGCCGCCUUGAAAACGGCCUCAUUACUAAGUUCUAGUACUUUAAAACUGCUUCCCCGCCCGGACACCCGGAUCUCCACCAGCGGCGUGAAAUAUCCCAGAUCACGCUUUUGGCUUUACUUAAAGUUCACAAGCUCCUGACGUUUAAAUAGGAGGCAGCCGGUCCGCGACUCUACCUGCCAAUUAAUGCAGUAUAAGACACUCACUCUUAGAAUGCCUGGCCAUUAAGGGCGUCCCAACAUUCCCCCGGUAGGCCAACCGAGCUUAAACAUAACAACGCGUCCGUUGCAUGUGGCGUCUGCCAAAACGCUGAACAACUGCAUUCCUAGGGGCCGCGCCCCAGUCCUAAUCAAUUUUACUUAUUUUAAAAGCCUCACUGUGGGUACCCUGCCCUCCAGUUUAAUUACCUGAGACCCAAAACCGCGUUUUUGCUACCCAAUCAAAACCAAAUUAUCCCUACACUACCGAUUGACUGGCUGGCAUGCCCAGUCAACCCACAUUUAAACCUCUUAAACCGUAUCUAUUUGUUUCCCCACACCUUAAACCGUAUUAACUUAAACACAUAACUUCUUAACUCAAAAUUCACCCCCAAAAUAAACAGCAAUGAAUUUAGUCAGACUACUAUGCCCUAUUUUAAAACUAAUUACACAAGAUCACUAUGGACCAACGCCAGAAGCCCAGACUGAGUGAAUAUUAUUUAAUUAAAUUUAGUUUUAACUUCCAAUAUAGCGCCUUUGGAUAAAAAUCAACAGGUGGCACUCACCUUUUCUUAUGUCGCCUGGCGUCACUCAGAUAGGCUGCUGGCCCCCGCCCCUGUUUGUCACCCACACGAUAGCUGCAAGCUCCCCUCCUCCCCAACCGGAGUUUCGGCACCAAGUUGUUACGUCUGGUUCAGUUUGGGUAAGAAGGAAAAACAGCCGAGUCCGUGUAGGUGACAAACAUAGUGAUUUUAUUACACACUUCUAAGACAGAAGCAUGGGAAGACAAGCGUACAGCCACAGAUCUCCACAGAGUGGACCAUUCCCCAUCCUUAUAUAAACCCAUGAUGACAUCACACAGUUAGACCUUACUGGAAAUAAUAACAGUCUCCCCAUAGUCCAAAGUUCUCCUUAUACAAACAUCAGAUGAUACUUUAGAGAAAAACCAAGUGUGUGACAUGUCAUGUUGUGCAGUUCGGUGAGCCUGUGUGUCCAACUAGAGAAUGUCCUGACAUGACCUCCCUGUGUAAAUAAGGGUGAACGUGCGUGUUUACAUAACUCUCUAUGUGCAUGUUCUGAUGUAGGCCUGCAAAUGAAUUAGAACAAGGUCCUGCUAGACCCUCCAGUUAUGGACGGUGAAUACAAUGCUGUGGAUACCAUUUGAGACUUGAGUACAAUGAUGAUAACCUGCAUACAUUAAUCUUUACUCAGAUUACCAUAGAUAUAAAACAAAGAUUAUACUGCCAUCAGAUUCCACAAUGGUAAAUGAUUAAUGAUUGAUACUUC
Molecule: long non-coding RNA, 2880 nt
Organism: Astatotilapia calliptera (eastern happy)
Lineage: Eukaryota; Metazoa; Chordata; Actinopteri; Cichliformes; Cichlidae
Source: Ensembl